CGGAAUCAAAUGACUCUCGGCAAUGGAUAUCUCGGCUCUUGCAUCGAUGAAGAACGUAGUGAAAUGCGAUACUUGGUGUGAAUUGCAGAAUCUCGUGAACCAUUGAGUCUUUGAACGCAAGUUGUGCCCGGAGCCUUGUGGCCGAGGGCACGCCUGCUUGGGCGUCAUGG
Molecule: ribosomal RNA, 170 nt
Filed under: Boesenbergia jangarunii
Lineage: Eukaryota; Viridiplantae; Streptophyta; Magnoliopsida; Zingiberales; Zingiberaceae
Description: 5.8S ribosomal RNA
Rfam family: 5.8S ribosomal RNA
About the family: 5.8S ribosomal RNA (5.8S rRNA) is a component of the large subunit of the eukaryotic ribosome. It is transcribed by RNA polymerase I as part of the 45S precursor that also contains 18S and 28S rRNA. Functionally, it is thought that 5.8S rRNA may be involved in ribosome translocation.
Source: RNAcentral